RNAcentral lists this non-coding RNA (140 nucleotides) under Oscillochloris trichoides. Its description in RNAcentral is "SAM-I sequence". It matches the Rfam family "SAM riboswitch aptamer (S box leader)". From Rfam's summary of the family: The SAM riboswitch is found upstream of a number of genes which code for proteins involved in methionine or cysteine biosynthesis in Gram-positive bacteria. The SAM riboswitch acts at the level of transcription termination control. The predicted structure consists of a complex stem-loop region followed by a single stem loop terminator region. The record is from RNAcentral. RNAcentral also lists the same sequence under 1 other name. Lineage: Bacteria; Bacillati; Chloroflexota; Chloroflexia; Chloroflexales; Oscillochloridaceae.
AACUCAUCCAGAGCGGUGGAGGGACCGGCCCGACGAUACCGCGCCAACCACUAGGUAUGGUGAACAUUUCGCCAUGAGCGAAUGACAUUCACUCCCUACGUAUGGUGGCAAUUCCGGCAGUGCAAUCUGGAAGAUGAGAG